RNAcentral lists this ribosomal RNA (373 nucleotides) under uncultured organism. RNAcentral's name for it is "bacterial SSU rRNA". It matches the Rfam family "Bacterial small subunit ribosomal RNA", at positions 526 to 896 of the family's 1533-position model. The record is from RNAcentral.
CGUAGGGUGCGAGCGUUGUCCGGAAUUAUUGGGCGUAAAGGGCUCGUAGGCGGUCUGCUACGUCGGGAGUGAAAACUCGGGGCUCAACCCCGAGCCUGCUUCCGAUACGGGCAGACUAGAGGUAUGCAGGGGAGAACGGAAUUCCUGGUGUAGCGGUGAAAUGCGCAGAUAUCAGGAGGAACACCGGUGGCGAAGGCGGUUCUCUGGGCAUUACCUGACGCUGAGGAGCGAAAGUGUGGGGAGCGAACAGGAUUAGAUACCCUGGUAGUCCACACCGUAAACGUUGGGCGCUAGGUGUGGGACUCAUUCCACGAGUUCCGUGCCGCAGCUAACGCAUUAAGCGCCCCGCCUGGGGAGUACGGCCGCAAGGCUA